AAUAAUUUAGUAACUGUGACUUGAGGAAACAGCUUGGUCUAAACAUAAGUAAAAGUGCAAAUAUGGUUGUAUUACCUUGAGGAAUAAGUUGAUAAAGGUAUAAAACUUACUCCCUUCCUUUCCUUUUCUUUAUUUUUGUCAUGUUAGCUCGGAAUUAGAUAUCUUCGGAGGCAGCAUCACACUAUUAAGUCAUCACCUUUGGAAUAUGGA
Molecule: long non-coding RNA, 210 nt
Filed under: Gossypium barbadense (sea-island cotton)
Lineage: Eukaryota; Viridiplantae; Streptophyta; Magnoliopsida; Malvales; Malvaceae
Description: long non-coding RNA (GBAR_LNC005560)
Source: RNAcentral